CCGGUCGGCACCAGCGUCCAGCGGCUACCAUUUCAUCGCCGGCAGUCCAAGCUCGAGCUCCAGCGACUGGCUGCAGCAAGCAAGCACCUGACAGCUGCUGCUCCUGACACGGCAGUUCGGAGUCGUUGCUCCCACCGCACUUCCAUCUUCUCCAUUCAUGCACUGUUCAGAUCCAACCUACAGCCAAAGAGCGAGCUCCGGCAACCGGCGGGCACCAUACAAUUGCUGCUCCUCCACCUCCACCAUUAUCUAGAUUUUGAGCUAUUGAGGAUGAUAUUUGGGACUAGUUUGGAAGAGGCAUGGAUUGGAAACGUUGGAGAACAACAAGAUUAA
RNAcentral lists this long non-coding RNA (333 nucleotides) under Oryza sativa Indica Group (long-grained rice). RNAcentral's name for it is "lncRNA OsLiXu_02g0005670". The record is from RNAcentral. Lineage: Eukaryota; Viridiplantae; Streptophyta; Magnoliopsida; Poales; Poaceae. RNAcentral also lists the same sequence under 1 other name.